CCUAACGGGGUGCAGCAGUGGGGAAUAUUGGACAAUGGGCGAAAGCCUGAUCCAGCAAUGCCGCGUGUGUGAAGGAGGUCUUCGGAUUGUAAAGCACUUUCGACGGGGACGAUGAUGACGGUACCCGUAGAAGAAGCCCCGGCUAACUUCGUGCCAGUAGCCGCGGUAAUACGAAGGGGGCUAGCGUUGCUCGGAAUGACUGGGCGUAAAGGGCGCGUAGGCGGUUUAUGCAGUCAGAUGUGAAAUCCCCGGGCUUAGCCUGGGAACUGCAUUUGAGACGCAUAGACUAGAGGUCGAGAGAGGGUUGUGGAAUUCCCAGUGUAGAGGUGAAAUUCGUAGAUAUUGGGAAGAACACCGGUGGCGAAGGCGGCAACCUGGCUCGAUACUGACGCUGAGGCGCGAAAGCGUGGGGAGCAAACAGGAUUAGAUACCCCUGUAGUC
Molecule: ribosomal RNA, 441 nt
Filed under: uncultured bacterium
Lineage: Bacteria
Description: bacterial SSU rRNA
Rfam family: Bacterial small subunit ribosomal RNA
Source: RNAcentral